GUGUUGUAUGAAAGGAGAGCUGGUUAGCACUCCCCUUGACAAGGAUGGAAUUUAAACACACAAUAUGGUAAGGCACAACUUACCACAUUUUUUUC
Small nuclear RNA from Cloeon dipterum, 95 nucleotides. The record is from RefSeq and is a predicted model, not a curated record. Lineage: Eukaryota; Metazoa; Arthropoda; Insecta; Ephemeroptera; Baetidae.